This is a long non-coding RNA of Drosophila santomea, 1766 nucleotides long. RefSeq lists it as uncharacterized. The record is from RefSeq and is a predicted model, not a curated record. Lineage: Eukaryota; Metazoa; Arthropoda; Insecta; Diptera; Drosophilidae. The transcript has 3 exons.
ACACAUUCCAAUUUAAUUGCUUUCUUAUACAAACAUUUCGGUUGAUAAAAGUAAAAUAGCUUGAAAUCUUUUGAUCUGAACUUCUUCGUGACAUGAACUUUCCCCUUAAAAAUUUAAUUGUCGCGUUGGAGUAGUCGAAUAUUUUUUCUCCUACUUUCAUAACUUUAAUAAUAGCCAUCUUUUCCUCAACAAUCAAAUGGUAAUGUUUAUUCACGGAAACACAAUGGAGACAGUGUUUCUGACUAGUUUUAUGUAUGCAAAUGAAGCAUAAAAUUCCAUUAUCGCAAUGAAGAGGAGGUAAAACCCUGAAUUCAAUUUGCGUGCCAAAGCUGGAGAGAAAAUUAAAUGCCGGAGCAAAAAAAAAUAAAACCACUAGAGAAAUUGCAUCAAAUCAGAUUUCUGAAAAGUUGGCAGGGAAAUAAAUUGAAAGGUGCAUUGCAACAAGUUGAUUAGGUCAUAGCACUGUUUGAUUCGAAUGUUGUCCGUUUAUGUUUAAUCCAUUAGCCGGAUAAACCAAUUGGACUAACAAACCGCGACAUUUGUGGCGUAAAAUCAAGUUGGCGCCAAUUAGCUAGUCGCGUAGUUUCGGCCGCUAAAUGAGCUAAAUGAGAAUUAAAACGCGAAAUUCGCAACAAUUUGCAGUUACCACAUAACCGGAAACCGGAUUGCAAAUUCCGGAAACUGGACCAUUGCACACAGCCGCAAAAGCAGCCCCCAAUAACGGAGAUAAAACCAUUUUGCGGCUUGCUGAUUUCUGCCAACUGCAAUUGCCCGACGACAGCUCCCGCAGAAACUUUUAAUUUAAUUCUGAUAAUUGCGCGCGAAUGGCUCUCAGAAAUUAGAGGGGCACCCCCAAGCCCUUCAUUGGGCCAAAUGGAGGCAGUCUGGCAGUCGGGCCUGAACUUUAACAUUCGAAACUAUCACGGCAAGCUGGCUUUAGCCCUAGGCGCUGAAAAUCCCUUGUGCGAAUACAAUUACGUAGUUGAAAAUCAAAUGCAAAUGACAGGCCUAAGCCUCUCGAUGUGUUCGCUGGCUUUCUUCGAACGCCGAGAUCUGAGCAUAAGCUCAAGUGAUAUCUGGAGAGGUGCUGUCAGGAAGAUGUCCUUGGAGCUCUAGCUGGGGUGUUUUGAAAACCUGAUUUAUUGUGCGAAUUACUUGAAGUAAUUAAAAUUUAAUUAAUGGCCCGCCUGGAUGAUAAUGUUAAGUAGUUGGGCCAUUAGCUGAGACCCUGCUUUUUCACUUCGUCCACCGUUUACGAGCGAAUGUUCACGUAGCUUUACGAACAUCUGCCGGAGACACAUAAAAGUGUCCCCCAACUUGGGGAUACAUCGCGGCACAUAUAUAUUCAUCCGAUUUAUUGCCGCUCAUUUGGACAACGGUAUGUAACUGCAGUAGCAGCUACGCAAACAGACAAACAAGAUAAUCAAUGUCGGACGCACACACAUCAUCGUGUCAGAGUUGAUUGCAACAUUCAUGUGGACAUGGGUGUGGGUGAGGCUGAGGGAGUUCCUCGGGCUGUGGGUGUGGCAGGAUGGGCUCAAAUUCGCCAUUCCGCUUGCUGUCGGCGAAAUGUGCAACUGACAGCUGCUGAGCAGCUGCUGCAACAACUCAGCUACAGCUAUGGCCACACAACUAGGACGUGCCUACGACUACUGUCAAAUGUUCUUUUGCAAGGAGCAUAUGUAUGUAUACGUGCCGCAUACUCCUACUACAACUUCUACUUCUUGAUGAGGCGCAGAGGGGCGUGGCAGGACGUGCGUGCCACU